GACCCCUUCAGUGGCCCAAGUGGUUAGAGCAUCCGCCUCUGAUGCGGGAGGUCUCGGAUUCGAAGCCCAGUCGAGUUA
Molecule: non-coding RNA, 78 nt
Organism: Potamilus streckersoni
Lineage: Eukaryota; Metazoa; Mollusca; Bivalvia; Unionida; Unionidae
Source: the annotation of a GenBank genome assembly